This 253-nucleotide ribosomal RNA is filed under the name uncultured bacterium. RNAcentral describes it as "partial 16S ribosomal RNA". It matches the Rfam family "Bacterial small subunit ribosomal RNA", at positions 524 to 776 of the family's 1533-position model. The record is from RNAcentral.
UACGAAGGGUGCACGCGUUACUCGGAAUUACGGGGCGGAAAGCGUGCGUAGGUGGUUUGUUAAGUCUGUUGUGAAAGCCCCGGGCUCAACCUGGGAAUGGCAAUGGAUACUGGCAAGCUAGAGUGCGGUAGAGGGUAGUGGAAUUCCCGGUGUAGCGGUGAAAUGCGUAGAGAUCGGGAGGAACACCAGUGGCGAAGGCGGCUACCUGGACCAGCACUGACACUGAGGCACGAAAGCGUGGGGAGCAAACAGG